This 400-nucleotide ribosomal RNA is filed under the name uncultured bacterium. RNAcentral describes it as "bacterial SSU rRNA". It matches the Rfam family "Bacterial small subunit ribosomal RNA", at positions 29 to 431 of the family's 1533-position model. The record is from RNAcentral.
AACGAACGCUGGCGGCAUGCCUUACACAUGCAAGUCGAACGGCAGCACGGGAGCAAUCCUGGUGGCGAGUGGCGAACGGGUGAGUAAUAUAUCGGAACGUGCCCAGUCGUGGGGGAUAACGUAGCGAAAGCUACGCUAAUACCGCAUACGAUCUAUGGAUGAAAGCGGGGGAUCGCAAGACCUCGCGCGAUUGGAGCGGCCGAUAUCAGAUUAGGUAGUUGGUGGGGUAAAAGCCUACCAAGCCUUCGAUCUGUAGCUGGUCUGAGAGGACGACCAGCCACACUGGAACUGAGACACGGUCCAGACUCCUACGGGAGGCAGCAGUGGGGAAUUUUGGACAAUGGGCGCAAGCCUGAUCCAGCAAUGCCGCGUGCAGGAUGAAGGCCUUCGGGUUGUAACU